Molecule: ribosomal RNA, 254 nt
Filed under: uncultured bacterium
Lineage: Bacteria
Description: partial 16S ribosomal RNA
Rfam family: Bacterial small subunit ribosomal RNA
Source: RNAcentral
UACGGAGGGUGCAAGCGUUAUCCGGAUUCACUGGGUUUAAAGGGUGCGUAGGUGGGUCUGUAAGUCCGUGGUGAAAUCUCCAAGCUUAACCUGGAAACUGCCAUGGAUACUAUAGGUCUUGAAUACCGUGGAGGUGAGCGGAAUAUGUCAUGUAGCGGUGAAAUGCUUAGAUAUGACAUAGAACACCAAUUGCGAAAGGCAGCUCACUACACGAAUAUUGACACUGAGGCACGAAAGCGUGGGGAUCAAACAGG